CUUCCAAAACGAAUAAACCUGAAAACCAGCAAUUACAUGUUUCUCCACAGUAAAGAAGCACACAAAAUAUCAAAGAGAAAACUACAGAAAGUUCAUUCCAAAACAACGUAACUGUCUUUGAAUGAAGAAGCUAACGGGAAAGCUCACAUAUCAUAUUACUUGAAAAACGUAAACCUGUCUAUUGAUCUAUAUGUGAAGAAUGCAUACUAUUAGAUCUUCAGUUAUGUUAUGCAUAAAAAGUUUAUUCAAAAGUAAAGCAAUCCAAGAAUACAUUUCAGAACUGCCUUGAUUCUAUGAUGUUAAAGUGAAAUCCUACUUCCACAAGAAAAAAGAUGGACCCAAACUAAAAGAUUUUGGCAAUAAAAAAUAAUUUCAGAAGCUUCAUCACAAAAAGAAAUGAUCGAUAGAACAUUUCUAAAGAAAAACUNGUGGUCCAGCAGGAAAACAAACGGCCCACAACUUGAGGCCCAGUAACGUGUGAGACAAAAAUCUCACUGGAAGCUUCUGAUGGUCAGAGGUUUGGUGAGAUGGUGUUCGUGAGCCANCUGCGAAAGGAAGAGAAAAAUGGGAUCUCCAUGUCCGUCCAGCAAGAGCACCGGCGACGGUGGUGGAUCGGAAGGAGGACGACGGGAAAGACAACCCGCGACAGAGAGGGGUUUAAUGGGCGUUUUGUCUUUAGUAAAAAAAAAAGAAAAAUGUUUGAUGAGGAGGUACAACAGGAUCGCGUGCUGGAGGUAAGGGGCAGAAAAACGGUUUCUGCUGCAGGUGAGGACGCGAUUUGUUUUUGCAGAUACGGUUUGGAUUGGCAGAGAAAAAAAAUAAAGAAACAGUGUUGGCCCAGUUAUCGGCAGAGAGAAGGCCCAAAAUGAAUGGCCCAAGUAUGAGAUAAAAUAUCUCACUCGAACAUUCUGAAGUCAGAGUUAGAUGAGUGCCAAAGUCUUCGAGCCAGCAGCGAGAUGAGGAUGAAGAAUGGGAAUCUGAUCGAAGCUCCGAUGCGAAAGACGACGGGGACGAAGAGCUCCGGCGUGACAGACGACUGCGGCAAAUGAUCGGAAAAGAGAAAGGAAUCGAAGAGCGCGCGUUCAAAAGGUUACUGAAAAAAGGUGGAGCAAGAGAGCUGAGAGGGGAACGACAAAAGGGGAAUUGGGAAUUAUCAUCCAGCUGGAUUGGGAGAGCAUUGGCCAUCGAGAAAAAGCAACAACAAAAAAGGAAGUCUUCAGCCAAGAGAAGAGAGGAAUACACCGUGUUACAGUUAUUCAGCUUUCAACUACAGAGAAAACGAAGCCAGCAAAAGGAAGGGGAGGUCGCCGGAGGCACAGUAACAAAUAGUAAUUCAAUGCAGGGUUAUAAUAAUUAAGACCCAUUAAUGAAUCAGCAACCUCAAUAACCAAGUGAACAUGAAAGAAAAAAUAUAUAGAAUGAAAGAGAAAAAAAUAUUGUUCUCUUUUCAAUGAUUUGAAACCAGAGAAUGCAAGCAAGUUAUUGAGGUUGCUGAUUCAUUAAUGGGUCUUGAACAUUAUAACCCUGCAUUGAAAUACUAUUUGAUUUUGGAAGGAAAUAUUGGAAACGAAAAUGUAUGGUAACUCCUGUCCAUGUAUGCUAAUUAUUGGUUUAAUUUUAUAGAUUAAUGUGCUUAAUUAAGUGUGUUGGGACUGAAAAGUGUAUGGGAGGAAAAGGUAUAGGAGAGAAAGAGAAGAGGGUCGAACCGUAGAAGACAGGACCGAAAGAUAGAUAAGGGGGGAAAACCAGACUGGACGGUAGAAGGAGAGGAACAAGUUGACCUAAGGCUGCUGAGAGGAUCUUGGCCUCGCUUGGUGGAGCUCUUCUAUCCUUGGAUUGAAGGGGUACCCUAAAGUCCUCCCAUGUUAAGAAUGUUGGUCUUGGCUCAAGGUUGGAGACUUCUAAAGAAAAGCCAUCUGGGUUGUAAAAGUCUCAUCAUGCCUUACAUGUUAAGUCUAUUUAUACUUGGCAUUUUGCUACAUGUAAAUGGUUUAUAUCAAAGCAUCAAUCCCUCUAAAGUUGUAUGAUAUUGUAUGAUAAAGUGACUACACUUUCUCCUAUCGUUCGAUCCAUCAUCCUUCUCGCCUUCGUCCUCCUUCAUUGUGUGUUAAUAGAGCCUUGGCUUCCUUCUGGCUUCCCCUCUCGUUGAUAGUUUAGUCAUUCUAUCAUCCUCAUCAGUUCUUGGAAACUCCUUUGCAUUGUCACCUCCAAAUUUCCCAUGGAAAGCUCCAUGUUCUCUAGUUUCACUUCGACCACAUUCAUUCUUCCCUCCAUGAUAUCUACUACUCCUUUCAAUUUGUAUCUGGCUAGCCUUUCACUCCUUUCUAUCGGAUCUGGCAGGUUAGAUCAAUUCUUGCGUACCUGAGUAUGGGAUGUAACUAGAAAGCUUCCUAACACACAAACAAGGAACAAUGGACAAUAACUGAAUAAACCUCUUUUAUUGAAUGGAAAUAACUGAAUCAAAGAAAGCAAACAAUAAUUGCAAGCAGGAUCUCCGUCAGUUACCUGAGAACAUAACCUCUCUUACAAAACUCACAAAUCAAAAGCAUGCCUUAAACCCUAGACUUUUUUAUUUAUACUAGUUAAUUCUCUCCCAAAACGUACUGAAUCUUAGAAAAUAAUCCUAUUUACUAUAAUUGUCUAAUACGAAUAUAUUUAAUUGACUGAUACGAAUACAUGUAGCCUUAUUUACUAUAUUUAACUUAUACCGAAUAAUAUACUGAGAUAUGACUUUGUUACUCUAAUUAUCUUUUGCUGAAUAUCUCUCUUGUUACUCUAAUUAACUUCCCGCACAUCCUAACCGCGGUGGCAGUUAGGAUGCUUCCUUGCUGCUUCCAUCCGUUCGGCCAACUCGCUUCCCGCCUUCCAUCGUUCGGCUUGGUCGUCUCCUCUUAUCUACCGUUCAGCCUGGUCGUCCCCCUUGUCUACCGUUUGGUCAACUUGUUCCCCUCCUUCUACCGUUUGUCCCCAUUAUCUAUCGUUCGGUCCCUGUCUUGUCUUCUACCGUUCGGCCCUUUUCUCUUUCUCUCCUAUACAUCUUCCUCUCAUACACUUUCCAGCCCCUGACACACCUAAUUAAGCAAAUUACUGGUAUAAAAUUAAACCAAUAAUUGGCAUACAUGGGCAGGAGUUACCAUGCAUUUUCGUUUCCAAUAUUUCCUUCCAACAUCAAAUAGUAAUUCAAUGCAGAGUUAUAAUGUUCAAGACCCAUUAAUGAAUCAGCAAUCUCAAUAACCAAGUCAACAUACUCACUUGGAUUCUCUGGUUUCAAAUCAUUGAAGAGAACCUAGUAAUCAAAUGAAAUGUUAAGUAAUACAUAAAAAUGAGAACAAAGUCAAAAGAAAGAUUCAUACACUGUCAUUACAUGUAUUAUUAGACAUUUUCUUGCACUCCAACAUUGUAUGAAAUUAAGUUAAUGAGAAACAUGGAAAAAGUAACUUAAAAAUAAUGAUAUAAUGUGCUUCAGAAAUGGGGUUGGAGAAGAAAGAGAGUUGUACAUGAUUACAAAGACUAUGACAUUAAUCUUUUUUCUUAAGAAAAGAAGACAUUUUAUAAGGAAAAAAAUUAUAUACAAGAUGACCAUAAAGUUAAGUUUUCUUAUUUAGAAUAAAAAGGAGAGAGAACAAAAAUCUACGUAAAAUAGGAAAUCAGCAAAACAUUACAUGCAAAUCUCAUUCAAAACCCAAGCUUUAUAAUGAAUAUAUUACAUGGAGGGAAAAUUAUGGUGUAUAAGUAACAAUGUGUGUUACACAUAAAUUGGUCAAGACACAGGAAAGAAAGAACAUAUAGAAUGAAAGAGAAAAAAAUCAAGAUAACUAAGAAAGUCUAAACUAAAUACUCAUCCAAAGACACGAAAGAAUAUUAAUUAACCUAACCUAAUAUAUGAGGUUUAAACAAGAUUAAAAGGGGUCAUCAUCAAGAAAAAUGCACUAAAUUCAAUUAUAAGUAAGCAUGAGUUACACUUGUUCAAGAUGAGCAUGGCAAAUUCCAGUCUUAAUUUUCAAAUUAAGGCUCACAGAUAUUUGAAAAUUAAGGCUGGAAUUUGUCAUGCUCAUCUUAGGAAAAUGGAUAUGGCUCAAGUGUGACUCAUGCUUACUUAUAAUUGAAUUUAGUGUGUUUUUCUUGAUCAUGUUCCCUUUUAAUCUUGCUUGAACCUCAUAUAUUAAGUUAGGUUAAUGGAUAUUCUUUGGUGUCUUUGGAUUUGGAUGAGUAUUUAGUUUAGACUUUCUUAGUUAUCUUGAUUUUUUUCUCUUUCAUUCUAUAUGUUCUUUCUUUCCUGUGUCUUGACCAAUUUAUGUGUAACACACAUUGUUACUUAUGUGUAACCCUACUUCCUCUGUCUUCUAAGGCUGCUGAGAGGAUCUUGGCCUCGCUUGGUGGAGCUCCUCUAUCCUUGGAUUGGAGGGGUACCCUAAAGUCCUCCCAAGUUAAGAAUGUUGGUCUUAGCUCAAAGUUGGAGACUUCUAAAGAAAAGCCAUCUGGGUUGUAAAAGACUCAUGCCUUACAUGUUAAGUCUAUUAAAUCUAUACUUGGCAUUUUGCUACAUAUAAAUUGUUUAUAUCAAAGCAUCAAUCCCUCUAAAGUUGUAUGAUAAAGUGACUACACUUUUUCCUUGCAUUUAUGUGUGAGUUA
Molecule: RNA transcript, 4632 nt
Organism: Vigna radiata var. radiata (mung bean)
Lineage: Eukaryota; Viridiplantae; Streptophyta; Magnoliopsida; Fabales; Fabaceae
Gene name: lignin-forming anionic peroxidase
Exons: 3
Source: RefSeq, a predicted model, not a curated record